This 253-nucleotide ribosomal RNA is filed under the name uncultured bacterium. Its description in RNAcentral is "partial 16S ribosomal RNA". It matches the Rfam family "Bacterial small subunit ribosomal RNA", at positions 524 to 776 of the family's 1533-position model. The record is from RNAcentral.
UACGUAGGGGGCAAGCGUUGUCCGGAAUCAUUGGGCGUAAAGCGCGUGUAGGCGGCUAGAUAAGUCUGCUCUGAAAGCCCGGGGCUCAACCCCGGGAGGCGGGUGGAUACUGUCUAGCUCGAGUCCGGAAGAGGAGUGUGGAAUUCCUGGUGUAGCGGUGAAAUGCGCAGAUAUCAGGAGGAACACCGAUGGCGAAGGCAGGUCUCUGGGCCACUACUGACGCUGAGAAGCGAAAGCAUGGGGAGCGAACAGG